GGGUUGUGAGGUUAAGCGACUAAGCGUACACGGUGGAUGCCCUGGCAGUCAGAGGCGAUGAAGGGCGUGCUAAUCUGCGAUAAGCGCCGGUAAGGUGAUAUGAACCGUUAUAACCGGCGAUACCCGAAUGGGGAAACCCAGUGUGAUUCGUCACACUAUCAUUAACUGAAUCCAUAGGUUAAUGAGGCGAACCGGGGGAACUGAAACAUCUAAGUACCCCGAGGAAAAGAAAUCAACCGAGAUUCCCCCAGUAGCGGCGAGCGAACGGGGAGGAGCCCAGAGCCUGAAUCAGCAUGUGUGUUAGUGGAAGCGUCUGGAAAGGCGCGCGAUACAGGGUGACAGCCCCGUACACAAAAGCGCAUGUGCUGUGAGCUCGAUGAGUAGGGCGGGACACGUGGUAUCCUGUCUGAAUAUGGGGGGACCAUCCUCCAAGGCUAAAUACUCCUGACUGACCGAUAGUGAACCAGUACCGUGAGGGAAAGGCGAAAAGAACCCCGGCGAGGGGAGUGAAAAAGAACCUGAAACCGUGUACGUACAAGCAGUGGGAGCACAGGUUUACCUGUGUGACUGCGUACCUUUUGUAUAAUGGGUCAGCGACUUAUAUUCUGUAGCAAGGUUAACCGAAUAGGGGAGCCGGAGGGAAACCGAGUCUUAAUUGGGCGUUAAGUUGCAGGGUAUAGACCCGAAACCCGGUGAUCUAGCCA
RNAcentral lists this ribosomal RNA (704 nucleotides) under Salmonella enterica subsp. enterica serovar Dublin. RNAcentral's name for it is "partial 23S ribosomal RNA". It matches the Rfam family "Bacterial large subunit ribosomal RNA", at positions 1 to 736 of the family's 2925-position model. Lineage: Bacteria; Pseudomonadati; Pseudomonadota; Gammaproteobacteria; Enterobacterales; Enterobacteriaceae. The record is from RNAcentral.